AAUGUUAAAGAGGUGAUGGGUGGACGAUGAAGAACUAAUCUUAUUUUUUACAGUUUGAAAUUGCAUAUUUCAAAUGAAAUGAAAUAGGAUUAGUCUGCCCAUUUAUUGAUAUUUUAGACAUAAGCUAUUAUGCGUUGAUAGCUUAUUUGUAUGCGACUAAUCCUUCCAAAUAAUUGGGAGGAUUUUUU
Molecule: small RNA, 188 nt
Filed under: Bacillus tuaregi
Lineage: Bacteria; Bacillati; Bacillota; Bacilli; Caryophanales; Bacillaceae
Description: Bacillus sRNA ncr1575
Rfam family: Bacillus sRNA ncr1575
Source: RNAcentral